GGGGAUUUAGCUCAGUGGUAGAGCGCUUGCCUAGCAAGCGCAAGGCCACCCUGGGUUCGGUCCCCAGCUCCA
RNAcentral lists this transfer RNA (72 nucleotides) under Rattus norvegicus (Norway rat). It matches the Rfam family "tRNA". From Rfam's summary of the family: Transfer RNA (tRNA) molecules are approximately 80 nucleotides in length. Lineage: Eukaryota; Metazoa; Chordata; Mammalia; Rodentia; Muridae. The record is from Rfam by way of RNAcentral.